This 786-nucleotide ribosomal RNA is filed under the name uncultured Gibberella. RNAcentral describes it as "eukaryotic LSU rRNA". The stretch from base 249 to 786 matches the Rfam family "Eukaryotic large subunit ribosomal RNA", at positions 1 to 550 of the family's 3401-position model. Lineage: Eukaryota; Fungi; Ascomycota; Sordariomycetes; Hypocreales; Nectriaceae. The record is from RNAcentral.
AAUGUGAAUUGCAGAAUUCAGUGAAUCAUCGAAUCUUUGAACGCACAUUGCGCCCGCCAGUAUUCUGGCGGGCAUGCCUGUUCGAGCGUCAUUUCAACCCUCAAGCCCAGCUUGGUGUUGGGACUCGCGAGUCAAAUCGCGUUCCCCAAAUUGAUUGGCGGUCACGUCGAGCUUCCAUAGCGUAGUAGUAAAACCCUCGUUACUGGUAAUCGUCGCGGCCACGCCGUUAAACCCCAACUUCUGAAUGUUGACCUCGGAUCAGGUGGGAAUACCCGCUGAACUUAAGCAUAUCAAUAAGCGGAGGAAAAGAAACCAACAGGGAUUGCCCUAGUAACGGCGAGUGAAGCGGCAACAGCUCAAAUUUGAAAUCUGGCUCUCGGGCCCGAGUUGUAAUUUGUAGAGGAUACUUUUGAUGCGGUGCCUUCCGAGUUCCCUGGAACGGGACGCCAUAGAGGGUGAGAGCCCCGUCUGGUUGGAUGCCAAAUCUCUGUAAAGUUCCCUCGACGAGUCGAGUAGUUUGGGAAUGCUGCUCUAAAUGGGAGGUAUAUGUCUUCUAAAGCUAAAUACCGGCCAGAGACCGAUAGCGCACAAGUAGAGUGAUCGAAAGAUGAAAAGCACUUUGAAAAGAGAGUUAAAAAGUACGUGAAAUUGUUGAAAGGGAAGCGUUUAUGACCAGACUUGGGCUUGGUUAAUCAUCUGGGGUUCUCCCCAGUGCACUUUUCCAGUCCAGGCCAGCAUCAGUUUUCGCCGGGGGAUAAGACUUCGGGAAUGUGGUCUCUUCGGGGA